This 380-nucleotide ribosomal RNA is filed under the name uncultured beta proteobacterium. Its description in RNAcentral is "bacterial SSU rRNA". It matches the Rfam family "Bacterial small subunit ribosomal RNA", at positions 430 to 803 of the family's 1533-position model. Lineage: Bacteria; Pseudomonadati; Pseudomonadota; Betaproteobacteria. The record is from RNAcentral.
GCUCUUUUGUCAGGGAAGAAACACCGGCUCUAACACAGUCCGGGAAUGACGGUACCUGAAGAAUAAGCACCGGCUAACUACGUGCCAGCAGCCGCGGUAAUACGUAGGGUGCGAGCGUUAAUCGGAAUUACUGGGCGUAAAGCGUGCGCAGGCGGUUAUACAAGACAGGCGUGAAAUCCCCGGGCUUAACCUGGGAAUGGCGCCUGUGACUGUAUAGCUAGAGUGUGUCAGAGGGGGGUAGAAUUCCACGUGUAGCANUGAAAUGCGUAGAUAUGUGGAGGAAUACCAAUGGCGAAGGCAGCCCCCUGGGAUAACACUGACGCUCAUGCACGAAAGCGUGGGGAGCAAACAGGAUUAGAUACCCUGGUAGUCCACGCCCU